RNAcentral lists this ribosomal RNA (706 nucleotides) under Peronospora variabilis. Its description in RNAcentral is "LSU rRNA". It matches the Rfam family "Eukaryotic large subunit ribosomal RNA", at positions 81 to 628 of the family's 3401-position model. Lineage: Eukaryota; Oomycota; Peronosporomycetes; Peronosporales; Peronosporaceae. The record is from RNAcentral.
UAGUACGCGAGUGAAGCGGGAUGAGCUCAAGCUUAAAAUCUCCAUCAAGUUUUGUAUGGCGAAUUGUAGUCUAUAGAGGCGUGGUCAGCGUGGGCGCUUGGGGCAAGUUCCUUGGAAGAGGACAGCAUGGAGGGUGAUACUCCCGUUCAUCCCUGAGUGGCUCGUGCGUACGACCCGUUUUCUUUGAGUCGCGUUGUUUGAGAAUGCAGCGCAAAGCAGGUGGUAAAUUCCAUCUAAAGCUAAAUAUUGGUGCGAGACCGAUAGUAAACAAGUACCGUGAGGGAAAGAUGAAAAGAACUUUGAAAAGAGAGUUAAAGAGUACCUGAAACUGCUGAAAGGGAACCGAAUCGUUUCCAGUGUCUAUAAUCCGUGGCAUAUUCCAUUGGCGAGUGUAUGCGUGCGUGUGCUAUGGCAGCGGCCUUUUGGCUGCGCUUGGCGCGUGUGCUGUGUGUGCUUGCUGGUGCCCUGUGCUGCGGUGGGACGUCAAUGUCAGUUCGUAUGCUGCGGGAAAUGGCUACCGAGGAGGUAGGGCUUACGUUCGCGUUUGUCUAUUAUAUCUUGGUGGACGAGUCGUCGUGGUUGGGACUGAGGUGCCUACAACGUGCUUUUGAGUGGGUUUGUGUCUCCGUGUUUGCCGUGUGCGGAUAGCUUGCUAUGCGUGUGUGGUUAUGUAUGGAUUGAUGUAGACUUUAGCUUGUUGCCGUUC